This 216-nucleotide ribosomal RNA is filed under the name Glomeromycotina sp. RNAcentral's name for it is "partial small subunit ribosomal RNA". The stretch from base 40 to 216 matches the Rfam family "Eukaryotic small subunit ribosomal RNA", at positions 686 to 864 of the family's 1831-position model. Lineage: Eukaryota; Fungi; Glomeromycota. The record is from RNAcentral.
GGGUCAGUAGGUUGGUCGUGCCACCGGUACGUACUGGUCUCACUGAUUCCUCCUUCCUGAAGAACCGUAAUGCCAUUAAUUUUGUGUUGCGGGGAAACAGGACUGUUAAUUUGAAAAAAUUAGAGUGUUUAAAGCAAGCUAACGCUUGAAUACAUUAGCAUGGAAUAAUGAAAUAGGACGAUCGAUCCUAUUUUGUUGGUUUCUAGGAUUGACGUA